UGAGCCGUGUUGAUCUUCUUUUAUUGUAGACAUGGAUGUGGGCAUGGCUCGAAGGUUAGCCCAAGGUCUCAAGACCCACAAGAGAAAAGAUGCCUCGACUUCGGGGUCGGUGAAGAAAGCCAGGAUAGAAGGGACAAGCUCGACUGUGCUUGCUCAGGUGGCCGUUGCCAUCGACGUCCCUUCCGACGCCGAACCCGAAGUCCCUCGAGCCCUUUCAAGGAGCCCCCCGAC
RNAcentral lists this long non-coding RNA (231 nucleotides) under Elaeis guineensis (African oil palm). RNAcentral's name for it is "long non-coding RNA (EGUI_LNC041345)". The record is from RNAcentral. Lineage: Eukaryota; Viridiplantae; Streptophyta; Magnoliopsida; Arecales; Arecaceae.